This 461-nucleotide ribosomal RNA is filed under the name uncultured bacterium. RNAcentral describes it as "SSU rRNA". It matches the Rfam family "Bacterial small subunit ribosomal RNA", at positions 26 to 518 of the family's 1533-position model. The record is from RNAcentral.
AGAAUCAACGCUGGCGGCGUGCCUAACACAUGCAAGUCGAACGAGAAAGGGUAGCAAUACCUGAGUAAAGUGGCGCACGGGUGAGUAACACGUGACUAACCUACCUUUUAGUGGGGGGAUAACCUAGGGAAACCUGGGCUAAUACCGCAUAAUACCGAGAGGUCAAAGGAGCAAUUCGCUUUAGGAGGGGGUCGCGGCCGAUUAGUUAGUUGGCGGGGUAAUGGCCCACCAAGACUAUGAUCGGUAUCCGGCCUGAGAGGGCGCACGGACACACUGGAACUGAAACACGGUCCAGACUCCUACGGGAGGCAGCAGUGGGGAAUUUUGCGCAAUGGGGGAAACCUGACGCAGCAACGCCGCGUGGAGGAUGAAGUCCCUUGGGACGUAAACUCCUUUCGAUCGGGACGAUUAUGACGGUACCGAGAGGAAGAAGCCCCGGCUAACUUCGCGCCAGCAGCCGC